CCUACGGGUGGCAGCAGUGAGGAAUAUUGGUCAAUGGGCGAGAGCCUGAACCAGCCAAGUCGCGUGAAGGAUGACGGCCCUACGGGUUGUAAACUUCUUUUGUCAGGGAGCAAUUGGGUCCACGCGUGGGCUUAGCGAGAGUACCUGAAGAAAAAGCAUCGGCUAACUCCGUGCCAGCAGCCGCGGUAAUACGGAGGAUGCGAGCGUUAUCCGGAUUGAUUGGGGUGAAAGGGUGCGUAGGCGGAAUAUCAAGUCAGCGGGAAAAAUUCGGGGCUCAACCCCGUCGUGCCGUUGAAACUGAUGUUCUUGAGUGGGCGAGAGGUAUGCGGAAUGCGUGGUGUAGCGGUGAAAUGCAUAGAUAUCACGCAGAACUCCGAUUGCGAAGGCAGCAUACCGGCGCCCAACUGACGCUGAAGCACGAAAGCGUGGGUAUCGAACAGGAUUAGAUACCCUUGUAGUC
RNAcentral lists this ribosomal RNA (460 nucleotides) under uncultured bacterium. Its description in RNAcentral is "partial 16S ribosomal RNA". It matches the Rfam family "Bacterial small subunit ribosomal RNA", at positions 338 to 795 of the family's 1533-position model. The record is from RNAcentral.